This is an RNA transcript of Cavia porcellus (domestic guinea pig), 13770 nucleotides long. It is a transcript of the gene named aspartylglucosaminidase, with no coding region annotated. NCBI's taxonomy places the organism in Eukaryota, Metazoa, Chordata, Mammalia, Rodentia, Caviidae. The record is from RefSeq and is a predicted model, not a curated record. The transcript is spliced from 12 exons.
GUGGUCACAGGAGGGCGGUGAACCAGGUUCCUGUGAGCGCCCGCGGAAGCAUUCGGGUGACUGCGGGCCGCGGGUCUCGCGACCUUUCUCGUGCUGCUGGGCUCGGCUCGCAGCUAUGGCGCGGAAGUCGAAUUUGCCUUUCAUUGUCAUUCCGCUUCUGCUCAGCCCGGCUGUGGUGUGCGGCUGCGGCCCUCUCCCCUUGGUCGUCAACACUUGGCCUUUUAAGAACGCGACCGAAGCAGCAUGGCGGACGUUAGCAUCUGGAGGGUCUACCUUGGAUGCAGUGGAGAAUGGCUGUGCCGUGUGUGAGCAAGAGCAGUGUGAUGGCUCUGUAGGCUUUGGAGGAAGUCCUGAUGAAAUUGGGGAAACCACCUUGGAUGCAAUGAUCAUGGACGGCACUACUAUGGAUGUAGGAGCAGUAGGAGAUCUUAGACGAAUUAAAAACGCUAUCGGUGUGGCACGGAAAGUACUGGAACAUACAACUCACACGCUUUUAGCGGGAGAGUCAGCCACCAAGUUUGCUGAGAGUAUGGGAUUUAUCAAUGAAGAUUUAUCUACCAGUGCUUCUCAUACUCUUCAUUCAGAUUGGCUUGCUAGGAAUUGCCAGCCAAAUUAUUGGAAAAACGUUAUACCAGAUUCUUCAAAAUACUGUGGACCUUACAAACCACCUGGGAUCUUAAAGCAGAACAGUCAUACCUCUAAAGAAAUAAGAGAUGAUUAUGGUCAUGAUACUAUUGGCAUGGUUGUAAUUCAUAAGACGGGACAUACUGCUGCUGGUACAUCUACAAAUGGUCUAAAGUUCAAAAUACCUGGUCGAAUAGGAGAUUCCCCAAUACCUGGAGCCGGGGCCUAUGCGGACGAUGCUGUAGGGGCUGCUGCAGCCACGGGGGAUGGAGAUAUAUUGAUGCGCUUCCUUCCAAGCUACCAAGCAGUAGAAUAUAUGAGAAGAGGAGAAGAUCCCACCAUAGCUUGCCAAAAAGCUAUUUCAAGAAUUCAAAAGCACUUUCCAAAAUUCUUUGGAGCUGUUAUAUGUGCCAAUGUGACUGGAGGUUAUGAUUACAUGGCUGUUACAGAGAAUGAGGUAAAGCCCUGUGAAUUGUUCAAUUGACAUUCAAGACAGGAUGCUUCACACAUUGAGAUGAGUGCUAUUCCUUUUGUUUCCUUCUAAAAGUCUACUGGGGAAGUUUAAUCAAGGAGACUUCGUGGGAGUUAACAUGUGCAAAAUGUGCAUCAGACAUCAUCAAUGCUCCAGGACUGUCUACCAACCACUCCAAAAGUCUUGCUAGAUUUGAGAAAAGAAAUGCAAAUAAAUAGAAAGAAGAAGACAAAAGUAGUCACAGGAGUACAUGACCAUCAACAUCACUAUGAAGCUUUAAAAAGAUUUGAACUGGGAAGGCCCAAGUGUCAGAGGUGGAAGCUAGAAAGUCUGUGCCAGCAGGCUGAGGGAUCUGCACUAGAGCCAAGAAGCAACACUCGACGUAAGAACCAGAGCUCCCCUCAAAAGUACCGCAGCCCUCCUCAGUAAUGACAAGGUUCCAAGCUUCUCUUCUAAGUUCAUAUCAGGAAACUAGCUUGACAAGCUUCUCCUGGAGAUUGAACAGCACACAUCUUACCCUGAGUCAGGAAGUGGUAAAGACCAGAGCUCCCCAAAGUGAACCACAGUCAUUCUCAGCAACAACAAUGUCCUGAGUUCCUCUGAAGAUGAGAACAACCAAGUUCAUAUUAGGAAAGAAGCUCAACAAGCUGCUCCAGGUGAGGCAACAGCAACAUGAGAACCAUCACCAGCACAGAGAACUGAUGAUACUCAGCUCUUCCUCUCCAGUUCUCCUUUUUAUUUUGGCAACAAUCCUCAGGUGGACCAUCCACACUCAGCACCAUGCUGAUUCAGUUGAUAUUACAAGUUGACCACUAGUUAUCAAUCCAUCACUAUAUAUAUAUAAUAUAUAUAUAUCUCACAUUUUUUCAUCAUUUCUGUUUACUCUAGUAUUUGUUAUAUUUUAAAACAAAGAUUAAAUUUUUGCCUUAUUAGCUGGAGAUACACUGCUAAGUUUAGCAGUAGUGCACGUAUUAAUUACAUGCAAUAUCACAACUAUGUUCAUAAAAUAAAAUAUAUCAAAUACUUUUUUAAUAUUCUAUUGCACUAUUAUGGGCCCUUAGAUAUAGCAUGUACUAAUAGAAAUAAUCACUCCGUAAUUUGUAUUUUUUUUUUUGUCUUUUUCCUUUUUAUCGGUACCUGGGAUGGAACUCACGACUGCCUGCUUCCAAGGCAGGCGCUUUAUGCCGCUGAGCUAAACCUCCAGCCCCUGUAAUUUGUAUUUUUCUGAAGUGUAGCUUUUUACAUGGCCAUUACUCUUAGACAGGGCUUUAUCCUUAUUUUAUUUUAAGAAACAAAAGAGUUCCAGAAGUUUCCUGGGCUGUCUUGUGCGAUGUACAUUUAUUAUAACUAAAACCCACUAGCAAUUUUGAUCACGGAAAAGCGGGCAUGAGGGGAAAAUUGGAAGAAAUCCUUAAACAUGUUUCCUACUAUAUGUUCUCUAAAUGCAGGCCAGCGUUACAGAGCAAACAGAAGCCAGAAAUGAAGACAGUGUCUCUGUCUCAGGCUCACAGACAUGAGGCCUCACAUAGUGUCCACAUGUCUUCAGAGAGUCAUCCAACAUUUAAGCAUAGCUUGUGAGUGUGUAUUUUAAUUUGUUACAUUAUGAAAGGGGAUACAGUUGAUUUUAGGUUCAUGAGUUCAGAUUCUAACAGCUGAUCUGCCACUGACCUGGAAUCAUUACAUACAAUAGUUGCUAAGGCUGCAGGAAAUUGAAAAGAAGCAAGCCUGUGCAGUUUUUCCUACCCAUGAGCUGAGAUAGGUACUCCCCAGGGAUGAUACUAGUUCACGCAGUUUGAGGAACUGAUUGUCCUUGUUUAGAACUUCAUGGAAAACUUACUGACAGGCCUGCACUGAGAAAUGAUCCUCUCCUUAUCAGUCUGGUAGAGAACACUGAUAAAAACCUCUCUCUCAUCCUACAGAAAUAAAUCUGCACCUAACACCAGAAAAUCAAUAACAUAUCAAUGUUUUCAACUAUCGUGCAUGUAUUCCAUCGUCUACUAUUCUGUCCAGAGCUAAGAGUUUUCAAGCACAUCAAUCUACUAUAGCAUUAGGUAAUCUGCAAUAUAUUAUUACUGCAUGAACCAGUAGGCAUAUGUUGAUGCUAUCAGUCCCAGACUAAAAAAAAAUAUAAAGUGACAAUGUUGUCCAAGGACAGUAGCUACUGACAAUAAAGAGAGCACUCCUCAAAGGAAAUACAAUUAUAUAAGCCUGAAGUACUCUAAACAACUGGUAGAUGAAAUUCAAGAAAUAACAAUCAGAAUCACAUCAUGUCUCUGUAAACAUUGUUCACCUUGAGUUAGAACAAGGUUCAAUAGUGGAUCUUUUCUUUUACAAAGGUGAUGACUAAUAUCUUACAGAAGCACUAAAAAGAAUCAAGGAAGCAGAACUCAUCUUUAUAUUUUGCAAUGGCUUAGGUUAAACUCAGAAAGACAUACUGAGAUUCAACAGGCAUAUUAUCUCUUAGACCUUUUUCAUUUUCCUGCAAAAAUUAAAUAGGUGACCGUGCAUUGCAAUUACAUAAAUCCUGACAGUUUUUAUCAUGCAGUCAACCAAGGUAGUAGAUUGCUUGUCUUUUUUUGCCAACAUAUUAGCUUUGAAUUUCUGUAAGUAAUAUGAAAAAAAGAGAACCUGUUAUUUCUUUUGAAAGUUUUUGAAUUCUGAAAGUAAUUUCCCAAAUUCUGUUCAAGGCUUCAAAGAAAGAACACAAAGGCAGCCAAAUACAAAAAUCUAGUGAUGCAUUUAAACCAAACAAGGGCCUGUCAUAAAGGUAAAAUAAAUGAUGUCACCAAAGGCAGUGAAAAUUUGAUGACAAAGGAAGAGAUUACAAUGGAAGGAGUUUGGGGAACAAUAAAACAGAUAUACUGCUCUUACACAUCUUCAUAAACCCUGGUAGUCUAUCAAUUUUUGUAAGUGAAAUAAAUUGACUAUCCUCCAAGUAACGAUGACAUCACAAUUUAUUCUUUUUCUGGUUACUGCUUUCCAUGAUGGAACUUCAACCUCUUUUAUAGAGCUCUCAUAAACAUAAGAGAACUUUCUACAUGAUUGAAUGUGACACCUGGCAAAUUGCAAGAAAAGCCUUCUCUACAUCUUUAAAUAUAGAGUUGUAAGAUGUAUUGCACAGGUUUAACUUACCGUAAAGCUUUUGGGCCAAAAAACAUAAACAGCUCUUUCCCCAAAGUUUCCACACCACUGUAAAGGUAUCCAUUAAGCAGUCUCAAGAAAUUCUGGCUGGAAUCAUUGCUAUCUUUCAUUGCAGCAGCCUAAUAGAAAACAAAUACAUGUAUAAACACUCCCAUACAUCCAAACUCUAAACAAAAUUAUAAUUUAAUUCUUAAAUGUAUUUGUAUUUUUUCAUGCCUACGUGCAUUCCAGUGAGAAGAAUAAGCUCCAACAAGUAUUACAAUCAACUGUUUACAUAUAUUUUGUUCAAUUACUAUAUACUAACAUAAAGAAAGAGCUCAAAAACAUUAAGUGGAAAAAAGUAAUUGGCCGACAAUCAAAAUAGGUUUCUUCCAGCUCUGCUCAUAUGAAAAGAAAACACAGGAAAAGAAGGCAAAUGCUCUGAACUAACAAGUGGAACAGAGUCAUCUAUUUCCACAGGGUAGCAAGGAAUAACUGAAAACGAUAGGUAACAUAUGUAAACAAAUUAACUUUAACUGUGUUAAUGAACUUUUAAGCAAGACAUAACAAUGGGUCAAAGCCCAAGUAAAAGUAGGACAGACUCUUAAAGGGGAGGGUAAAGAAGACCCUGAAACCAAAUUUUACCAUAAGGGCAUGUACUAGACCCAAAGUAUGAGAAAGUUUCCAUUCACUUUGUCUUGAGUGGCUAUAGUAGAUCAGAAAUAGAGCCUGGAGUCCUGUAAGUAAAAGAAUCUAAUUACAGACCUGCCCUAUUCUAAGCACAAUGUUAAAACUGAAACUGCAUUUCCCUUUCCCCCAACAGCCUUCAAAACCAAACAACAGAUUAUUAGGAUUAAAAUCUAUGUACUGAAAAAUGUAAGAAAACUAAGGAUAUCAUAGACCUACCAAGACACAAAACAUAGGCUCUGUGAAGACAAUACUGGCCUUCAACAUAGACACUGGCAAUGUUCUUUUACUUAAAUUGAGCAUUAGGUAUACUUGUUAUAGGUGACUAAGUCAGAUAAAAAUAUAGGUAGUCAGAUAGGGAUAGGACCUCAAACAAGCCAGUGUGCAAGACAAGAUACCUGGCAACUGUGGGAGAGUCAGACACCUCUGCUGUGGGCCAGACCUCAAGAAAAAAACAUCAAAAAAUGCAUCCACAAACUUCCUAAGGAUAAACAUCAGGGAUUGGUAUUCUAAAUAGGUAUCAUCACUUUGAGGUGUCCAUUUUAUUAUAAUUUUCUUACUGAGAUAUUUUAUGAACAUGUGUAAUUUGCACUCAAAAUUCAAUAAAAAAAGUAAAACUUACAAAUUCAUAACUCAGGUUGUUAGACUGGUGUCGCAAGGAAGACUCCAAGGGCCUCGCUCUCAUGUAAAAACAAAGGGGUUUUUAUUAUUCCGUGUACACGGGGUCCUCCAAACAGGUGGAAACGGAGAACCCUGAGUUGGGGCAGGGCUGGUGUUUUUAAGGGGGAAAAACUGCAAUGUAAGCAUUUAUUACAGAAGCCAAUCAUUACAGUUAGUGCGGAGCGGUGGGCAUCUUAUCUAUCUGCUAUUGGUCAGUUCAUAAGGGGUGACCAGCAGGUCAGAGUUAAUUAACUGUCUUUGUUCUGCACAACUUGUCUUUAAGACACCUGGUUUCUGUAGACUUGAGUCUGACAUAUUUUACAACCCUGAUUAGCAUAAUGGCAGCCUCUAUCUCUGAGUUCCCUGGCACAGCACAUCCCCAGCAUAUCACAGCCACAGAGGUUGUUUUUAUUUCUGCAGGGCUGAGUUAGGACUGAGUCACGAGGCCCAGUGCUGUUUCUAGCUGAGAAACAGCAUCUUGUUUUUAACCUUUAAAUUUCUGGUUCUACAAGGUAAAAUAAAAUAGGUACAUAUAAUUAUAACCAUACAUUUGUACUUAAGGUGACAGACAUCUUGCCUCCAACAUGUUUGUCCUUUUUCUCAAAGGGCCUAACGAUCUUGAAGAUAAAUCAAUUGGGAUGGGGAACAUAGCAGGUGAUUUACCUUUUGAUAGCGAGCCUAAAAGAAUCACAAGUUUUUCUCAGCAGAAGGUAUAAUGAUAAAAAAUUUUGGUUAAUAAAUAUGUCAUUCUAAAUGCUUAAGAUCAUGUAUUCACAAUAGUAAUACAUGCAUUUUAGUAAAUUAGUCCUCAUUUAAAAAACAACAAAAAAGACACUAUGGUAGUAUUCUUCCAUUAAAGCUACUUAGUUUGUAAUGAUGACAGCAGAUGGUAGAAUCACUCAGUUUUAAGGAGAUUUAAAUCCCUCCUUUCACAAUAAGCAUUGCAUAAUUAGCCAUCAGCUUAUAAUAACUGACUGUUACAGUUUGUGUCUAGAUGUCCCCCUAAAGCCUCAUGAAGUCAUACGAUGAGCUUCUAAAAUUUGUGAUAGAUUCAUGGUCUAAUACUGGGAAUAAGGAUAUGAGAGCUACACUCACUCUAGGGUAGGCAGCUAGCCCACAAUAUUAAGGCCACAAAGAAUCUUGUCUCUCUCUCUCUCUCCUUUCUCUCAUGUUGCUUUUGGUAUCUUCCAUGCCUGUCUGCCACGUGCCACCCUGCCUUAGUGCCAGCUGAUGUCUGAAACCUCUACAAAGUAUGUGCUAAAUAAACUUCUCCUGCUUUAACUUUGGGUAAUGGGUAUUUUGUCCCAGCAAUGAGAAAAAGUAAAUAAGACACUGAUAGAUAGACAGGAAUUGUUAAAAGUGAUAGAUGCUGGAUGUGGUGGUGCACACCUGUGAUCUCAGCUACUCAGGAGUGUGAGGUGAGAGAUCACAUGUCCAGGCUAGCCCGGGCAAGAUUCUCAAUAAAAUUUAAAAAGUCUCCAACUACAGUUGAGGCCUUAGAUUUCUAUGUCCUUUACCAAAAAUAAGUAUAUAUAUAUAUGGGUAGACUUCCAGUUUUGCUUUACUCUCAAAAAGAACUUGUGGGAGAUUCUAACAUCUGGAAGUAAAGGUACAUAUGUCACCAUGUCCUCAGAACUUCUGCCACUGACUUCCCUCUCUUGGAUGAACUCAAGGGCCCAGCUUGGUUAUUAAGCACUGGCAAUGCAGGCUUGAGUACUCAGUGAGGAACAAAACGCAUUUCCACACGUGCCUUGCUUUUAUAAAUAAAUCUGUUGGAGUUCUGAAUUGAGAGGCAACAAGAGUCUUGACACUUCUUUCCUUCACAAGAGAUUCUAAGCCACUUAUGUACACUUCAAGCCAAUACAGAUUACAGUAGGAGUCAAGGUAGAUUUCCAUGACAACUGAUUAACGAAUAAAGCCUUCUCAUAAACUAACCAGGAUACUUUUAAGAUGACAAUAUACAGAUCAGAUAUAGGUUUAUUGAGAGUAAUUUAGAGAUCACCUUUUUUAUAUUUGUAGAAUCUCAGAUUUAAGGUCUUAACUAUCAUCUAAAAUUAAUUUAUAUACUAAUGGUUCAGGGCUUCAUUUCCCCACCAUUCCAGUACUCACCAUCUCUUAUUCCCCCUUCCUCAAUGUUCUUCUUUACCGGCCAGUUUUGCUCACAUUCUCUGAAACCUUCUGGCUUCUGUUAGGCCUGCUACUACACGGAGUGAUGAACUUUAUCCUACUUAAUAUAUAUAGACACAUGCACACACACACUCCUCAGACACACACACACACACACACACACACACACACUCUAUACAUUCAUAUAUAGCAACCUUCCCUGGUUCUUCAUUGGAACAGCAAAAGCUAGUGCUAUCCUGACUUUCUAACUUCUGAUAGCUACUUUAAGUUUCAUAAAUUAAACCCCAAACACAAAACCAAUUAACUGUCUAAUUGGCUAAUUAAAAAUGCUGUCAGCUGCCAUAUCAGUUUCUUAGGGUAGAGCCUCCUCAUUCCUGACUACUGGACUUCACUUUUCCUAAAUGGGAACUCACAGGAUUAAGCUACUGUCACUUACUACCUGUCUGCUUGCUAUCCCAAUCUCCGUCCCUUUACUCAGUUCUGACUAUCGUAUUUUUUAAUGGCUCUUGGCCAAGAAACAGAUACGUAGCCUUGAAAAAAGCACUACUGUCACAAUUAAUAAAAUAGUAAAGAAGUCCCAACAGUUCCAUGUGAAAUCUACUCAUGUUGCUAAAGUAAUCGCUUGAAAAGAAUUUAGUUUAAAACUUUAGAAGCUUAGAGCUAUACUGGUUCAUCUUUUCAUUUGGCAUUUUGUACAACACAAACAUCCUAUCUGCAAAGAGGAAAUGGGCCAUUCAUGGCCAUUUAACUAAAUUAAUUCAUUUUGGAAAAGUUCACUGAUCUUCCACUAUACACCAGACUUUAUUUUAGAAGUUGGGCAUAUACCAAUUAAAAUAACUAAAAUCAUCCUGUCUUUAUGGAGUUUAUAUUCUAGUAGGGGAAAAACAUAGGCAAUAAACCUAAGAAUAUCAUAUUUUAGAGAAUUUUGAAAAGAAAUUGAGAUAAAAAGAGAUCAAAAUGGAGGAAUAUGUAAUGGGUUACAGUUCAGUAGCCAUAAUCUCAGUGGGGGAGUGGGCAUUUGAACAAGUUUCAGAUCACAAGUGACCUAUAAUUCACAUAAAAGGAAUGACAGUUCAAACAGGUCAGUAUGGCCACAGCACACACAAUGGAGUAUUAGAAGUAAAUGAAACUUAACAUAUAGCAGGAAUCACAUUAUGUGGUCCACAAAGUCUGACCUAAGGACUGGCUUUCUUUUGGGAUAGCACUAGAGUAGAAGAGAAAGUGAUCUAUGUUAUUAUUUUAAAUUGUUCCUCAGCAGUGAGAUAGAAUUCUGGCUCAGCAGAUUGAGAUGGAAAGUCAGGAAAGUACUUACAAGUCUACUGCAAAAAUCCUGCCAAGAAAUAAAGGAAAUUUGGACCAGUGGGGAUGGAGGAGACAAUGAAAAUUGGUCAGAUCUCUAAGUGUGUUUUGAAGAUGGAAAUGCCACUCACCAAGAUGAGAAAGACUUGGGUAAAACAUGUUGGGAAAGGAAAAAAGCAGGCUAUUAAACAUAUUAAGGUUGAGAUGUGUAUUAGAAACAUGUUAAAUAAGCAGAUGGAUAUAGGAGUCUGGAUUUAAGAGAGAUGUCUGUUCCAAAGAAAAGCAAUUAUUCAAUUAUAUGUAGAGAAAUGAUGUCUAAAACCCUGUCAAAGAGGAGACACACGAGAGAGUGCACUUAGUUAAACAGGAGCCCAAGAACUAAAGUCUGGACCACUCUGAUGAUAUAUUGGUGGGAAGAAGAACCCCUGAAGAAUGCUACGAUGUCAGACAGAGAGGAAGACUUAGGAGAUUGGAAAGACGAUUGGCAAUGCAUGUCCAAAAUCAAAACAAGGGCUCCUGUAAGCAAGUGAAUAACACAUUUCUGGGAAGAGGACAUGGGAAGCACUGCUGCUAACAAAUCAUAUAAGAUGAAGACUGACACUUGAUCACUGGAUUUAGCAAUUUGUUAGUAAUUAGUGACAAGAGUUUCAGAGAAGUGAAAGGGGACAAAAAUUGAUUUAUAGUUCCUGUAUCAAAACACUGAAUUUUAAUUUAUGAAGAACACAGCUGAAAUAUCUCAACAGCCAAUGCUGAGAGGCGGGUUCAGAAAAGAUUUGUUUUGUUUUCUAUAAUUAGUCUACCAAUGCACCACAGGAUGUCCUGCAGAAGACUCUGCAUCUACAGAUUUUUUAAUGAUCUGAGAUUGUAGGAAUAUCUAAAUAUGGAAAAAAAUGAUCAUUUAGUUAAGAAAAAAGUAUCUGGAGACAAUUCUUCAAAUCUUUAUAGUUUCUAUUAACAAGAUAAUGGUGACUAUAUUGCCCUCACAAAUAAAUAUUGUUUUGCAUAGGAGGAGGAGUACAAGAAUAUGAAGGUCAAUAUACUUAAAAUGCAUAAGGCCAUUUUAUAUCCUUGCACUAUGGUCAGGGGCAAGGAAUUAUUUUCCUGGCUGCCAUAAUCUCAAAGAGAACCUUGAACCAAAGUCUGAAUGUUGUAGCAUUUCUUACAUGUUCUACUGGUGUUUUGACCUACUCUUCAUAAUUAAAAAUAUAAUGUAACAUCACAAAUUGGAAACACAAAAAACUGAAAAUUCUACAAAUGUUGAAAAGAUGUUUAUGGCCCCAUAAAUGUGACUGUUACAACAGAUGUUGGCAGAAAGCAAAGAGAGGAAUGAUCACAGGUGGAGAACUAUUCAUUUGUGGAAAAAUACUGACCUGGAACUACCAGCUGAUGUCACCCCAGCAGAAAUUCUUCCCAUUUCAGCGGCUAUGUGACCUCGGUUCAACUAUGUUUAAGAAUUAAGUGGUUUCUUUUUUUUAAUACCCAAUGAUGAAGUGUUUAGGAAUUAAAAUGAAAUGUUCUAUAACCUCUUCAGUGCUCCCAUAUACAGUUUGUAAUCCUCUCUGACUUUAGAGUUUUCCUACCUGAGCAGCUGAAUAAGCUUGCAGAUUUCUAGCUGCCACAUUUAGCAUAGUGUUUUCUAAACUACAGUCAUGGUAGUGAUACUAAUGAUCUUGAAUUAUAAUUUGUCUGUAACUUGUAUUUCUCCCUUAUCUGUGUAUAUUUAGCUAGUAUCCUCAAGAUCUGUACAUAAUGCCUGUGGUUUAGUAAACAUUUGUGGAAUCCCUCCUAAAACUGACAGUAGUUUCAAACAAUAGUGUCACUGUUUCUCUACCUACCAUGUCCAAUUGGCUUUACCUGUCAAAAAUUCAUCUUUUAAAAAUCUAUUGAUAUAUCAAUGCCUUAUUUUCUUAUCUGCAAUCAAAUGAGACUUAAAUAUCAGAAGACAGAUUUUUCAUACCCACCAAAAGCUAGUAUUGUACUUAUCAGAAUUUCCCAUAAAAGAAAAAGAACAUUAUGGGAAAAUUUGGAAAGGGAUUGAUGUACGUUCAACAACCAUUUCCAAAGUACUCUAUUCUCUCACUCUCUUUCUCUCUCUUUUUUCCCUCUUCCCCCUUCCUUUCUUUGACGUGUUUACUUAGCAUUUAAUUGUUGCUUAUACUUCAUUUUUGCUUGGAUAAAUAUGAUAAGUAAAGAUCACUUUACUGAGUUGUCCAUCAUGCAGGCAACUUACCCAAGUUGGCUGAUUCCUAUGUCUAUGAUUUCUAAAAUAAUCAGCUCUGCAAAAAACUUUUGCAAAAAAAAUAAAAUUUUCAAUUUAUGAUUGACCAUCACAAGCCCUACAUGUAUUUUGCAUUGUUUCUUUAAAAUUCUAUUUUAUGAGGAAAUGCUGUAUACCAGUGAUGAAAUGUUCCAUUUAUUUUGUAAGCUAUUAUGUACAAAGUGGGUGAGGCUUUCACCAUAAAUCUAAGAUUUACAAGAUACUCACUUGCCCUGCUGUAGAACAGGGGUUAUCACCUUCUUCUAUAAGCUUCUGCUGCCUAGACAAAUGCAAAAAUUAAUUUCCACAAGCCUAUUAUAUUUGCUAUAACUAUACUCAAUUGCCCAAUAUAUACUUGACUUUCUCAUGUUGACCCAUAUGAUCCUACUACUGUAUUAUUUGAACAUUUCAACCUUCCUUUUUCUGAAAUAGAGAUGAAAAUCUCCUUUGCCACAAUUUUAAGUAUGAUUGAGUAGGGUUCACCUUCCCAUUUUCAAGUGGCUUAAUAAUAUGAAAUUUUCCAAACAACACAUAUUUUCAGAGGCAGUACAUGAUUUAUUGUGCUGAUUACCAUUUAUCCUGCCUAUCCAUGAGUGAACAAGGAAGAUGAACUUUCCAGAACACAAUAAGACGUUUUCAUAGAUAAAUGUUUCAACUUUACUGCAGUUAUAUAUUUUCUCCAGAGAAGAUCUCAUAUUUAUUUUUGUAUUCUCUCCUCUUUCCUCAUAUUUCUUUACUGUAAUAUGACAUUUUUCUUAAUAAGAGGCCAUUCAUCUUUUAAUCCAAACCAUCAAAGAACCUAAUUUUAAAAUGGUCUUUAAAUUCCAAAAUAGAUAAAGGACUUUAGAUUCACAUAAUCUAUAACUUUUAAAGAGCAAAAUCUCUUAACACUUACCCAGAACCUAAAUACUUUGCAUCUUACUUGAUAGCUUCAAAUGUUACAAGCUUUUCACAGGGUAAUAGUUUUUGAGAUAAAUGGGUCUGGUGAGAAAGCCUCAAUGCAAGAGAAAAGACAAUUAGCAGGUUGCUUAAGUUAUCACACUAAACUAAGAGUUGUAUUUGCCUUUAAUUUGACCAACUAAACUAUAACAUGAGUACAAGCAACUCCAGAUGAGGGGUGACAAAGGAGUGGAAAUUCAAAAUCAAGAUGAUCAGAUGUUCUUUUCUCUACAAGCAUACUAAACAGUGUUAGGUAAAAAGUUACAACGGUCAUGGAAAAAUCACUCUUUUUUCAUUGCUUGUCUGUAAGAAUAUAUUUGCUCUCUGCUAUCUCAUUUUUGUGAGUCCAUAUAAUGCUGGAUUUUGAUAAUAAAGAUACCAAAUUGCUACAGAGAAAUCAUUAUCAAUAUCCAUUUAAGAAGGGAAGAAGUAUAUAAUACAUGUUCUGUAAAAUAUUUAAAACUUUGGAUACUUAUAGGAGUGAACUUCACUUAGCUGAAAGUGAAUUUCUGUGGAUUACCUCAUUUGUUCAAAUAACAGAGAUGAACUAUGAUUUCCCAUUUUGAAGAACAGGUGGAAAACUUACCUAGGAGGCUUUAUUAUUUUUGUGAAGAGGGCAUUUCCAAAUAACACACCCAAAAAAGAAUACACAUAUAAUGAACAAUUUCAAAUGGAACUUAUUUUUAAGUCUGUAAUCAUUCUGCAGUAUGCAAAUGUUGCUUUUCUUCAUUUACCUUUUACUAAAUGCCUAAUGUGUCCACGGCACUCAUAAAUACAUGUCUGAAAUCUUUAGUCAUAGUAGUUACAUGAUCAUGUUUCAAAAUAACUGAAUGCUUAUAGACUACUUCAUAUCCUGUUCUGUGAUGGGAGAUUAAAACACACAUAUUACACACUGAUUUCCCUAAAAUAUUAUAUCCAUUCAACAUUUAAAAUCAUAGAAUUGACUCUUCAGAGCUCAUUAGCCAGACAUGUGCAUUUACAUUCCAAUAUUGUUUCUUACCACAAGGUUCCACAGAUCCAGCAGAGUUUUAUACAACGUGCUUACACAGUUGCAUAAUUUUAUGCUGACAAGACAGUGGAUCAAUGGGGCUGGAGAUUUAGCUCAGCGGCAUAAGUGCCUGCCUUGUAAGCAGGCAGUCGUGAGUUUGAUCCCCGGUACCGAUAAAAAGGAAAAAGACAAAAAAAAAAAAAAAAAAAAAGACAGUGGAUCAAAACUCCAAGAAAUAACUCUGUGCAUACAUGACUGGCAGAUGCUGGGAUUCUUCUACGGCUAGCCUUUCUUCCUUAAAAUGAGGAUCAGUUUACACAGGGAAAGAUGCAUUAAAAUAUAUUUUCUGUAACUUUAAAGUAGAGAAAAUAGGAACACUAUGUGACAAACAGAAUAACUGGUUUGCUAUGGCAGUAGUGACAGAUAAGGGUUGCUUUUUUUCUUUUUCUUUUUCUGGCUUGGUUUUUGAAACAAUGAUCAUCUGAAAUUUAAAUCUGUUACAUCCCAGUUAAUACUUUUAGCUCUCAUUUGUAUUUUUUUGUGUUUAUUGAACUGUAACUCUAUAGUAUGCAGUAAUAAAGAUAUUUUUAAAUGCCA